GUAGGCGGCCAGACGAUCGCCGCGUUCGUCCAAGUAAUUGGACGACGGGGAGGAAAGUCCGAACUCCGCAGGGUAGUGCGCCGGGUAAUGCCCGGUCAGGGUGACCUGAAGGAAAGUGGCACAGAAAACAUACCGCCACGAUUGUGUAACCCUCUGGGUGCACGUUGUGGUAAGGGUGAAAAGGUGCGGUAAGAGCGCACCGCGUUUACCGUAAGGUAAAUGGCAGGCUAAACCCCGCACGGAGCAAGACCAAAUAGGGAAGCGUUUUAGGAUGACCCGUCCAAAGCUUCCGGGUAGGUUGCUUGAUCCUGUCAGCAAUGACUGGGCUAGAGGAAUGAUCGUCACCAAGACUUAGUUGCGUAAGUGAUUAGGACUAGGUACAGAAUUCGGCUUAUGGCAAACCUGCGACG
RNAcentral lists this RNase P RNA (410 nucleotides) under Acidobacteriota bacterium. Its description in RNAcentral is "Acidobacteria bacterium (marine metagenome) RNase P RNA component class A". It matches the Rfam family "Bacterial RNase P class A". From Rfam's summary of the family: Ribonuclease P (RNase P) is a ubiquitous endoribonuclease, found in archaea, bacteria and eukarya as well as chloroplasts and mitochondria. The record is from RNAcentral. Lineage: Bacteria; Pseudomonadati; Acidobacteriota.